UACGGAGGAUGCGAGCGUUAUCCGGAUUUAUUGGGUUUAAAGGGUGCGCAGGCGGGGCUUUAAGUCAGCGGUGAAAUCUCGAGGCUCAACCUCGAAAUUGCCGUUGAAACUGGAACCCUUGAGUAUAGAUGAAGUAGGCGGAAUUCGUUGUGUAGCGGUGAAAUGCAUAGAUAUAACGAGGAACCCCGAUUGCGUAGGCAGCUUACUAAACUAUAACUGACGCUCAAGCACGAAAGCGUGGGUAUCAAACAGG
Molecule: ribosomal RNA, 253 nt
Filed under: uncultured bacterium
Lineage: Bacteria
Description: partial 16S ribosomal RNA
Rfam family: Bacterial small subunit ribosomal RNA
Source: RNAcentral